GCCACCAUCUGGAUGAAUCGCCACACAAUUAUGCUGAGUUAAAAAAAAAUCCAAGUCCCAGAGGAAGUGACUCCAUUUAUAUGACAUUCUUGAAAUGGCAAAACUACUGAGGGGGCGAAUGAUCUAGUGGUUGCCAGGGGCUAAGGGGGGGUUGAGGGACGAGGGAAGUUGGUAUGACUAUAAAAGGGCAACAUAACUGAUCUUUGUGGUGAUGAACACGUUCUCUGUCUUUACUGUGUCAAUGUUAGUAUCCCGAUUAUGAUAUUUGGUAUAGUUUUUCAAGAUGUUGCCAUCGGGGGAAUCUGCGUAAAAGCAAAGGAAAGGCUACAUUCCGUGGACCCCAUUGAGUCUAAGUGGGCCGAUGUGACUUUCUGGCUGAUGGUAUCCACCACAAGUGAAGUACACCACAUUCAGAACUGGCCGUUAAACAUCCUUCACAAUCAGCCACCGUCUUUCUCCUCCAUCCCUAUGGCUAAGAAGAUGGCAGAGCUGUACAGUGUAAGAAGCCCAGAUGAAUGAGUACACUGCUUGGAGGAGACCCACCCGGGAAAGCCUCCUGACCUGGAAGAUCUGCAUUGGACACUGCAGGAGCCAGAAAGAAACCUGCACUGGAUUAAGCCACUGUGAUUUGUGUGUUUAUUUAUUCCUACAGUAUAGUUUAGCCUACUCUGACUAAUACAGAUGCUUAAAAAGACCCCCAAAAAUGAUAGCAACUCAAGCAGCGAAAACCAGAACUGGCACUUUAAUUGCCAAAAUCUGGGAGAAAUUGCCACUAUUUGCAAAGCCUUUAUAAUUGGAUUGAGAAAUAUAACCAGUGACCCAUGAAUGCGUUGGCACUGGGUUGCAGAAAACCCGAUGGCUGAAAAGAAGGUGGAAAGAUGCUUUGCCCCUCCCCACUGUCUGCCCUGGCUCAGACAUGCAGAGACACUGCCAGCCAGAAAAUGGGGCUGCCCGUCCUCUGCUCCUCCGUGAGGCUUUCUGCAGGUGCCGCUCCCUACUCUGCCACGUCUACCCCAUCCUCGCCAGAUUUAAGUAAAAGAGCAUUAUUGUCUGCUCUGAGUAUGGUGUCUAUUGUUUCUGUCCACAUUUUUAUACUUUUACUCAUGUGCAUUUGUCCAAAAGUAAUACAUCUAUAGUAGUGAGGGGUGUUUUAGAAGAUUUACCUAAAUACUAGCCUAUCCUGUGACUCCUUCUGCAACUUAUUUUUUCAUUUAGCACUAUGUUUUCUAUAUUUGUUCAUAUUGAUACUUUCAAUAGUUUAUUCGUGUUAACUGCUAUGUAUAUUCAAUAUAUCACAAUUUUUAUCCUUUCCUCUUUUAAUAUGUUGCAUAUACCUUUUGACUAUUGCAAGUAAUACUCCAAAGGGUGUUGUUAGUGAAGGUCUCUGUAUGCAUAUUUAUGAGCAUUCUCUAGGGCUUAUAUCUAAGAGUAGGGAUCUUCCAUUAUACUAGAUAGAGUCAAAUUGCUCUCAUUGUGGUAUACCAAUUUAUAUUGCCAUCAGCAGGAUAUGAAUUUCUAUUUCCCCUCACCCUCAAUAAUACUUAAUAUUUUCAGAUUUUUGAUGAGUAUGAGAUGCUCAUUUUGAAUAAUCUCAUUUUUUAAUUUUUAGUUUCCUAUCAGUGAAGCUGAGCAUUUUUUCAUAUGCUUGUUAGCCACUCAGAUUCUAACUCUGUGAAUCAAUUUGCUCCUGUCUCCUGUCCAUUUUCCAACUAAUCUUUCUUUUUUCUUAUUGAUUUAUAGAAAUUUUCUGCAUAUUUAAAGUACUAAUCUAAUAUGACUAAUUAGUUAUAUUCUUCGAAAAUAACUUCUCUCAAUCUGCGGCUCAUCCUUUCACCUUGCCUAUGAAAUAUUUUGCCAUAUAAAACUUACAUACUAAAUUUAUCAGGCAAAAACCUUUUCCUUUAUGAUUUGAGCUGUGUGGGUCUAGCCCACUGGUUUAUAGUGUCAACUCUUUCAUUUACCAAAUGUCUAUAUAUCCAUGACAAUAUUUCUGGUUCUCCGUUCUGUUGUAUUGGUCUGUUGUUUUAUUCCUAUGUCAAUUGCCUUACCACUUUAAUUACUGCCACCUUGUAGAAAGUCUUGAUACUUGCUAACGCAUAUGCCCCAAUCCGUGCUCUUAUAUUGUUUUUGCUAUUCCUGUCCUAUUAUUCUUCAAAUAAAGUUUAGGAUUGACUUGUAA
Molecule: long non-coding RNA, 2179 nt
Organism: Equus asinus (donkey)
Lineage: Eukaryota; Metazoa; Chordata; Mammalia; Perissodactyla; Equidae
Source: Ensembl